RNAcentral lists this ribosomal RNA (646 nucleotides) under uncultured organism. RNAcentral describes it as "bacterial SSU rRNA". It matches the Rfam family "Bacterial small subunit ribosomal RNA", at positions 772 to 1420 of the family's 1533-position model. The record is from RNAcentral.
ACAGGAUUAGAUACCCUGGUAGUCCACGCCGUAAACUUUUGCUCACUCGCUGUUUGCGAUAGACAGUCAGCGGCCAAGGGAAACCGAUAAGUGAGCCACCUGGUGAGUACGGCCGCAAGUUUGAAACUCAAAGGAAUUGACGGGGGCCCGCACAAGCGGUGGAACAUGUGGUUUAAUUCGAUGAUACGCGAGGAACCUUACCUGGGCUUAAAUGUGAAGUGCAUUGAUUGGAAACAAUCAUUUCCUUCGGGACCCUUUACAAGGUGCUGCAUGGCUGUCGUCAGCUCGUGCCGUGAGGUGUCGGGUUAAGUCCCAUAACGAGCGCAACCCCUAUUGUUAGUUACCAGCGCGUGAUGGCGGGGACUCUAGCGAAACUGCCGGUGUAAACCGCGAGGAAGGUGGGGAUGACGUCAAAUCAGCACGGCCCUUAUGUCCAGGGCUACACACGUGUUACAAUGGCCGGUACAGCGGGCAGCUAGGCAGCGAUGUCAUGCUAAUCCCGAAAGCCGGUCCCAGUUCGGAUUGGAGUCUGCAACCCGACUCCAUGAAGGUGGAAUCGCUAGUAAUCGCGCAUCAGCCAUGGCGCGGUGAAUACGUUCCCGGGCUUUGUACACACCGCCCGUCAAGCCAUGGAAGUCUGGGGUGC